GCAACUGGGAAAAUGGACAUCAUCCAUUUCUCACUGCAUGCAGUCUAGGUUUUGCCAAUAGCCACAGUUACUUCUUAGGAACUGCUGUCUUCCUACUUCUUGUUUUGCCAGCACAUCAGUUAUCAGAGUAGACAUACGGCUGUCCAUUUUUCUCCUUUAAUGAAGGCAGAAUUGUCACUAAUAAAAGGUGAACUGAGAAGGGGAGAGAGACGGAAAGAGACAUCAAACUCUUUAUUUUUAGGGAAUCCAGUUUCAAAGCAAGCAGAUGAUCUUACAUUCCUGGGCACAGAAGGUACCGCUUCUCAAAUUGACCCUCUCUGGUCAAAAAGUGGAUAAUGGAGGAAGGAGAGUAGACAUCAGAAAGAGGUGGGCAGACCUCAUCCAGUCAGGUUCCGAUGACAGAUGGGAGUACAAACAGAGAGGAAGAAAAUAUCUUUCUAAGUUUCAUAAGCCGCAAAUGCAUUAGACAGAGCACUAAACUGGAGAGAGCAGGGAACAGGGGAGGAGACAGGGAGGCACUAAUGUGGAAAACAAGGUACAGAAGUAUACAGUUUACAUUGUUACAGUACAAGAGAGGAGAUGAGAGGGUUAACACUGAAAGCGCAAGACAAAAAGUACAGAAUGUAAGGCACCAUUGGGAAAGACAAAGUGCAACUCAAACUGUAUGCUUUUGGGAAAUGUAGCGUAGCCAGAUGGCUCUGGGCUCAGAGCAGUCUCACGGUCCCACAGUCCAGGGACAGUAAGCCCCCCCAGGCAUGCAAUGACAGGCCGGGCACAGAGGGGACAGGAUCAAACUCUCAAGAUGAAUGAGUUUUUUUCCUAGGUCACACACAGCGGAGAACAGAAAGGCACAGACACGAAGAAAAGGACAAACUACCCAAAGGGAGAAAGUGUAAAACAGACUCAGAGGGGAAAGCAAAAUGUUCCUCUUUAAGCAGUGCUCGGUCACUGUGGAGGGAGGAAACCAAGCCUGCAGCAGGCAGAUGGUGAAG
Thunnus maccoyii (southern bluefin tuna) is the source of this 992-nucleotide long non-coding RNA. RefSeq lists it as uncharacterized. The record is from RefSeq and is a predicted model, not a curated record. NCBI's taxonomy places the organism in Eukaryota, Metazoa, Chordata, Actinopteri, Scombriformes, Scombridae. The transcript has 3 exons.